Molecule: unclassified non-coding RNA, 219 nt
Filed under: uncultured Polyporales
Lineage: Eukaryota; Fungi; Basidiomycota; Agaricomycetes; Polyporales
Description: sequence contains ITS2
Source: RNAcentral
UAUAUUCUCAAAAUCUCUUCAUUGUUGUGAAGUAGGAUUUUGGAUUUUGGAGGUGCUUGUAGGUUUGUAAUAAAUCUGCUCCUCUUGAAUGUAUCAGCUGGAAACCUUUGUUAGACCAAGCCUCAGUGUGAUAAUUGUCUACACUGUAGUUUGUCUAGUUCUUGUAUAGGAUUCUGCUUCUAAUUGUAUUGUUUAUAAAAUAAACUUUACUUAUGACAU